This 462-nucleotide ribosomal RNA is filed under the name uncultured bacterium. RNAcentral's name for it is "partial 16S ribosomal RNA". It matches the Rfam family "Bacterial small subunit ribosomal RNA", at positions 29 to 507 of the family's 1533-position model. The record is from RNAcentral.
AGUGAACGCUGGCGGCGUGCCUAAUACAUGCAAGUCGAACGGAGAUUAAGUAGCUUGCUAUUUAAUCUUAGUGGCGCACGGGUGAGUAAUAUAUAGCUAACUUGCCCAUUACUAAGGGACAACAGUUGGAAACGACUGCUAAUACCUUAUACUCCGUAUCUAUAUAAGUAGAUACGGGAAAGUUUUUCGGUAAUGGAUAGGGCUAUAUCGUAUCAGCUAGUUGGUAAGGUAAUGGCUUACCAAGGCUAUGACGCGUAACUGGUCUGAGAGGAUGAUCAGUCACACUGGAACUGAGACACGGUCCAGACUCCUACGGGAGACAGCAGUAGGGAAUAUUGCUCAAUGGGGGAAACCCUGAGGCAGCAACGCCGCGUGGAGGAUGACACUUUUCGGAGCGUAAACUCCUUUUCUUGGGAAAGAAUUAUGACGGUACCCAAGGAAUAAGCACCGGCUAACUCCGUG